Molecule: ribosomal RNA, 119 nt
Filed under: Brachypodium distachyon (stiff brome)
Lineage: Eukaryota; Viridiplantae; Streptophyta; Magnoliopsida; Poales; Poaceae
Source: RNAcentral
AGAUGCGGUCAUACCAGCACUAAAGCACCGGAUCCCAUCAGAACUCCGAAGUUAAGCGUGCUUGGGCUAGAGUAGUACUAGGAUAGGUGACCUCCUGGGAAGUCCUCGUGUUGCAUUCU